CCUACGGGCGGCAGCAGUGAGGAAUAUUGGUCAAUGGGCGCGAGCCUGAACCAGCCAAGUCGCGUGAGGGAAGACGGUCCUAUGGAUUGUAAACCUCUUUUGUCGGGGAGCAAAAGACGCCAAGCGUGGCGGGAAGGAGAGUACCCGAAGAAAAAGCAUCGGCUAACUCCGUGCCAGCAGCCGCGGUAAUACGGAGGAAGGAAGCGGUAUACGGAUUUAUUGGGUUUAAAGGGUGCGCAGGCGGAAGGUCAAGUCAGCGGUAAAAUUGAGAGGCUCAACCUCUUCGAGCCGUUGAAACUGGUCUUCUUGAGUGAGCGAGAAGUAUGCGGAAUGCGUGGUGUAGCGGUGAAAUGCAUAGAUAUCGCGCAGAACUCCGAUGGCGAAGGCAGCAUACCGGCGCUCAACUGACGCUGAGGCACGAAAGCGUGGGGAUCGAACAGGAUUAGAUACCCCAGUAGUC
RNAcentral lists this ribosomal RNA (460 nucleotides) under uncultured bacterium. RNAcentral describes it as "partial 16S ribosomal RNA". It matches the Rfam family "Bacterial small subunit ribosomal RNA", at positions 338 to 795 of the family's 1533-position model. The record is from RNAcentral.